RNAcentral lists this long non-coding RNA (2227 nucleotides) under Homo sapiens (human). RNAcentral describes it as "HSALNT0184469". Lineage: Eukaryota; Metazoa; Chordata; Mammalia; Primates; Hominidae. The record is from RNAcentral.
CUCCAGCUGGGCUAGCCCAACCUCCUCUCCUUCCCUCUGGCAUGUACCCCAGAAUUCUAAUACAUUGUCUCAUCCAGGGCAACGAAGAAGAUAGUCAUGAUGCCUGUUCCUACAAGAGUGCUUCUCUGCCUUUUUCUCAUCAUAGAAUACAUAAGAAAAAUGAAAACAUUCAUAUGGUAAAUAGAACUAACUGUUCUCUGCCAUGGUGCUGAAGUGACUGGCCCUGAGAGCUGAGGAGAUCAAGAUCUACCUACCUGUAACCAAGGUGUUACACCCCAGAGGAAAAGCUGUGUCCUGAACAAUGCUGCCAGCAGAUACCCUAAACUUGUGCCAACCUCUAGACUCUACUCUUUGGAAGCAAGUCCCUAGCACAGCCCAAACUCACCGGUGUUAAGCUCCAUCUCAUUGAGAGAUAUUUGGAAAUGAAGGAAAGGAAACUGCUCUUGGAAACCCUGAAAUGAACACACAAUGCAUCAGAGCCAAGCCUGCAAUCACUCAAGAAAGAAUGAUUCUCGAGGCAUCGAGUCCCCCCUGGAAGUUAAUUGAAAGGCUGUCUACAGAAAAGAUGGUCAGUCCUAAGGGAGAGGUAGGUCAGUAACGAAAACACAGAAAAGGAGAGUCCUAGAGAAAACCCAGAGCCCUGACCUGGAGGAAGAGGACCUUGGUCCUAAAGGUGCCUGUGUAUUUUUUGUGGAGAUGGGCACUCAAAUUAUCAUCACCUGAUAUGAUUAUGCAUUUUAAUUUUCCAACUAACCUCGGUGUUUUCACUCUGUACUCAGCGAGCAGCCAUGUGACUGUAAGCUGGCUUCCCAAGUACUUGGUCCUCAAGGAGAGAAUGGGUGUUAUCCCCUCAGCAGUUCCAUUCUGAUGUCCACAGCUGGCUGGUAGGGUGAGUCAGCAUCCCCCCCAGCAGUCCCAUUCACCCUGGGCCACUGCUGGGACCCAGCAUUUGAACAGUAGGACAGAGGGCUGCAGGCUGGCCUAAGUCACACCACAGUGAGCUGGUCUUCCCAGGAAGCUCCCAGCCUUCCCGUUCUAUGGCACUGUCAGACUGUACCUCUUUAUUUCAAAACACAUCAGAAUACAUCAAAGCCCUGACUGUUAGGUAAGUAUUACUAUGCCCACUUUUAUAAGCAAGGAAAUAGAGAUUGCAAAGGGGUAAUUAACUUGCCCAAAGGCGCUUAACUUCAUAAACCAGCCUGGAUUCCGCACCUAUUCUGACUCUAAAGCCUGUGUUCUUUCCCUUGACUUCAUGCGGCCCCUGCCUUCAAGGACUUUCCUCUCCAGUGUAUCUUUAAGUAAGAAAGCGUGUGUGGGAGGUGAGGUGCGGGAGAGGGACGAGAAUGCUCCCCUGCCUGAAGCUCCCCUCUGUGACUAAGAACCCAGUUUGUAAUCUCUUCUUCACUUUUUUUUUUCUUUUGAGACGGCGUCUCGCUCUGUCGCCCAGGCUGGAGUGCAGUGGCGCGAUCUCGGCUCACUGCGACCUCCGCCUCCCGGGUUCAGGCAAUUCUGCCUCAGCCUCCCGAGUAGCUGGGAUUACAGGCAUGCGCCACCACACCCGGCUCAUUUUUGUAUUUUUAGUAGAGACGGGGUUUCACCGUGUUGGUCAGGCUGGUCUCGGACUCCUGACCUCGUGAUCCGCCCGCCUCAGCCUCCCAAAGUGCUGGGAUUACAGGCGUGAGCCGCCGCGCCCGGCCUCUUUUCUUCUCAUACAAGGGUAGGAUGGGGAGAGCACUAAGGGCUACCUCUGUCUCCAGCUACAUUCUCAAGUGCUCCACAAGGAGGAGUGGAGAAUGAUGUUCGGGGGACAGUGAACAGUGCCUGUCCCUCCUUUUGUUGCUCAAACUUCCACACCUGCGGUCACCCUCACUUCCCCCUAGGCGCUUCCAGGCGGGUGGAUGACUGAUGACCCUGACUCCAAGCCAGGAGGACGGGGCUAGGGCUUCAUCCCUUCCUCCCGAAUAAUACCAUCCUGUUUUAACAGCUGAUUUCCAUUCAGCUUCCACCUUAAAACACAGGACACCACCAAACCAUUGAGGCCACCUGUGUCUCUCUUCAGAAUCCUGCGGAACUCCCUCACUCUCAGAUAUUUCUGAAAUACCUACUUAUAAAAAUAGUUUUGGCCGGGCACGGUGGCUCAUGCCUGUAGUCCCAGCACUUUGGGAGGCCGAGGCGGGCAGAUCGCCUGAGGUCAGGAGUCCGAGACCAGCCUGACCAACAAGCUGAA